UACGUAGGGGGCUAGCGUUGUCCGGAUUUAUUGGGCGUAAAGAGCGUGUAGGCGGCCAGGUAGGUCUGCUGUGAAAACUCGAGGCUUAACCUCGAGAUGUCGGCGGAAACCAUCUGGCUAGAGUCCGGAAGAGGAGAAUGGAAUUCCCGGUGUAGCGGUGAAAUGCGCAGAUAUCGGGAAGAACACCCGUGGCGAAGGCGGGUCUCUGGACAGUUCCUGACGCUGAGGCACGAAGGUCAGGGGAGCAAACGGG
This 253-nucleotide ribosomal RNA is filed under the name uncultured bacterium. RNAcentral describes it as "partial 16S ribosomal RNA". It matches the Rfam family "Bacterial small subunit ribosomal RNA", at positions 524 to 776 of the family's 1533-position model. The record is from RNAcentral.